CUACGGGCUGCUCCAGUCGAGAAUCUUCCGCAAUGGACGAAAGUCUGACGGAGCGACGCCGCGUGCGGGAUGAAGGCCUUCGGGUUGUAAACCGCUGUCAGUGGGGAGGAAAUGCAUCAGGGUUCUCCCUGGUGUUUGACCGAUCCGCAGAGGAAGCGCAGGCUAAGUUCGUGCCAGCAGCCGCGGUAACACGAACUGCGCGAACGUUAUUCGGAAUUACUGGGCUUAAAGAGUUCGUAGGCGGCCUUUCAAGUCGGGUGUGAAAUCCCUCGGCUCAACCGAGGAAUUGCGCCUGAUACUGUUGGGCUUGAGGGGGAUAGGGGUGAGCGGAACUGAUGGUGGAGCGGUGAAAUGCGUUGAUAUCAUCAGGAACACCGGUGGCGAAGGCGGCUCACUGGAUCUCUUCUGACGCUGAGGAACGAAAGCUAGGGGAGCGAACGGGAUUAGAUACCCGGGUAGUC
This 461-nucleotide ribosomal RNA is filed under the name uncultured bacterium. RNAcentral's name for it is "partial 16S ribosomal RNA". It matches the Rfam family "Bacterial small subunit ribosomal RNA", at positions 339 to 795 of the family's 1533-position model. The record is from RNAcentral.